This 450-nucleotide ribosomal RNA is filed under the name uncultured bacterium. RNAcentral describes it as "bacterial SSU rRNA". It matches the Rfam family "Bacterial small subunit ribosomal RNA", at positions 29 to 524 of the family's 1533-position model. The record is from RNAcentral.
AACGAACGCUGGCGGCAGGCCUAACACAUGCAAGUCGAGCGAAGCCUUCGGGCUUAGCGGCGGACGGGUUAGUAACGCGUGGGAACGUGCCCUUCACUACGGAAUAGCCUCUGGAAACGGAGAGUAAUACCGUAUACGCCCUUCGGGGGAAAGAAUUUCGGUGAAGGAUCGGCCCGCGUUAGAUUAGGUAGUUGGUGGGGUAAUGGCCUACCAAGCCUACGAUCUAUAGCUGGUUUGAGAGGAUGAUCAGCAACACUGGGACUGAGACACGGCCCAGACUCCUACGGGAGGCAGCAGUGGGGAAUCUUCGGCAAUGGGGGGGCAACCCUGACCGAGCCAUGCCGCGUGAGUGAUGAAGGCCUUAGGGUCGUAAAGCUCUUUCGCCAGGGAUGAUAAUGACAGUACCUGGUAAAGAAACCCCGGUAACUCCGUGCCAGCAGCCGCGGUAAU